CCUACGGGGGGCUGCAGUGGGGAAUAUUGGACAAUGGGGGCAACCCUGAUCCAGCCAUGCCGCGUGUGUGAAGAAGGCCCGCGGGUUGUAAAGCACUUUCAGUGAGGAAGAACGCCUGGUGGUUAAUACCCCUCAGGAAAGACAUUACUCACAGAAGAAGCACCGGCUAACUCCGUGCCAGCAGCCGCGGUAAUACGGAGGGUGCGAGCGUUAAUCGGAAUUACUGGGCGUAAAGCGCGCGUAGGUGGCUUGAUAAGCCGGUUGUGAAAGCCCCGGGCUCAACCUGGGAACGGCAUCCGGAACUGUCAAGCUAGAGUGCAGGAGAGGAAGGUAGAAUUCCCGGUGUAGCGGUGAAAUGCGUAGCGAUCUGGAGGAAUACCAGUGGCGAAGGCGGCCUUCUGGACUGACACUGACACUGAGGUGCGAAAGCGUGGGUAGCACACAGGAUUAGAUACCCGUGUAGUC
This 465-nucleotide ribosomal RNA is filed under the name Vreelandella stevensii. RNAcentral describes it as "partial 16S ribosomal RNA". It matches the Rfam family "Bacterial small subunit ribosomal RNA", at positions 338 to 795 of the family's 1533-position model. The record is from RNAcentral. Lineage: Bacteria; Pseudomonadati; Pseudomonadota; Gammaproteobacteria; Oceanospirillales; Halomonadaceae.